CCUACGGGUGGCAGCAGUGAGGAAUAUUGGUCAAUGGGCGCGAGCCUGAACCAGCCAAGUAGCGUGAAGGAUGACUGCCCUACGUGUUGUAAACUUCUUUUAUAAAGGAAUAAAGUGAGGCACGUGUGCCAUUUUGUAUGUACUUUAUGAAUAAGGAUCGGCUAACUCCGUGCCAGCAGCCGCGGUAAUACGGAGGGUCCGAGCGUUAUCCGGAUUUAUUGGGUUUAAAGGGAGCGUAGAUGGUUUGUUAAGUCAGUUGUGAAAGUUUGCGGCUCAACCGUAAAAUUGCAAUUGAUACUGGCAGGCUUGAGUACAGUAGAGGUAGGUGGAAUUCGUGGUGUAGCGGUGAAAUGCUUAGAUAUCACGAAGAACUCCGAUUGCGAAGGCAGCUUACUAAACUGCCACUGACAUUGAGGCUCGAAAGUGUGGGUAUCAAACAGGAUUAGAUACCCCUGUAGUC
RNAcentral lists this ribosomal RNA (460 nucleotides) under uncultured bacterium. Its description in RNAcentral is "partial 16S ribosomal RNA". It matches the Rfam family "Bacterial small subunit ribosomal RNA", at positions 338 to 795 of the family's 1533-position model. The record is from RNAcentral.